AGAGUUUGAUCCUGGCUCAGAUUGAACGCUGGCGGCAGGCCUAACACAUGCAAGUCGAGCGGAUGAGAAGAGCUUGCUCUUCGAUUCAGCGGCGGACGGGUGAGUAAUACCUAGGAAUCUGCCUGGUAGUGGGGGACAACGUUUCGAAAGGAACGCUAAUACCGCAUACGUCCUACGGGAGAAAGCAGGGGACCUUCGGGCCUUGCGCUAUCAGAUGAGCCUAGGUCGGAUUAGCUAGUUGGUGAGGUAAUGGCUCACCAAGGCUACGAUCCGUAACUGGUCUGAGAGGAUGAUCAGUCACACUGGAACUGAGACACGGUCCAGACUCCUACGGGAGGCAGCAGUGGGGAAUAUUGGACAAUGGGCGAAAGCCUGAUCCAGCCAUGCCGCGUGUGUGAAGAAGGUCUUCGGAUUGUAAAGCACUUUAAGUUGGGAGGAAGGGCAGUAAGCGAAUACCUUGCUGUUUUGACGUUACCGACAGAAUAAGCACCGGCUAACUCUGUGCCUGCAGCCGCGGUAAUACAGAGGGUGCAAGCGUUAAUCGGAAUUACUGGGCGUAAAGCGCGCGUAGGUGGUUCGUUAAGUUGGAUGUGAAAUCCCCGGGCUCAACCUGGGAACUGCAUCCAAAACUGGCGAGCUAGAGUAGGGCAGAGGGUGGUGGAAUUUCCUGUGUAGCGGUGAAAUGCGUAG
Molecule: ribosomal RNA, 690 nt
Filed under: uncultured bacterium
Lineage: Bacteria
Description: bacterial SSU rRNA
Rfam family: Bacterial small subunit ribosomal RNA
Source: RNAcentral